RNAcentral lists this long non-coding RNA (461 nucleotides) under Gallus gallus (chicken). RNAcentral's name for it is "lncRNA (ENSGALG00010006594.1)". The record is from RNAcentral. Lineage: Eukaryota; Metazoa; Chordata; Aves; Galliformes; Phasianidae.
UCCAGGUAGGGCUGUGCACCUGCAGCUUUGCUGUCAUCCCAGUUCCUUCAGGGGGCUUUCCUUCCCCUGGCCCUGGUGCUGUGGAUGCAGUGUCCUGUCACCAACCAUGGUCAGCACCUCCUUACCCUGGCACACAAGAUCCUUGGAAGAUCUUGCAGAGCAGAAGUGGUUGAGCCAUGGAACGUGUAACAGACCUCACGAUUAUACACCUGAAGUCUUUCAGUGUUAGAGGAGAGCCUUGAGAGAUGCUGCUAAUGAAGACAAAUGAAGGAAAAGGAACUUGACCCCAGAAUCAAGGGAACUGUGACUGGGAGAAGAAGGGGAAAGUGACCUCACCUGCCCUGUAAGGAAGAGCAUUCCGGUGAGCAGUUAUCAGACAAUAGCUGAUGCUCUGGAAUUUCCUCUAACAACAAUAACUUGUCUGCUUGCAUAUUCUCACAGUCAUUAAAAGAAGAAAUAGG